GAAUGCUAAUACCGCAUACGUCCUACGGGAGAAAGCAGGGGAUCUUCGGACCUUGCGCUAAUAGAUGAGCCUAAGUCGGAUUAGCUAGUUGGUGGGGUAAAGGCCUACCAAGGCGACGAUCUGUAGCGGGUCUGAGAGGAUGAUCCGCCACACUGGGACUGAGACACGGCCCAGACUCCUACGGGAGGCAGCAGUGGGGAAUAUUGGACAAUGGGGGGAACCCUGAUCCAGCCAUGCCGCGUGUGUGAAGAAGGCCUUAUGGUUGUAAAGCACUUUAAGCGAGGAGGAGGCUACUGAGACUAAUACUCUUGGAUAGUGGACGUUACUCGCAGAAUAAGCACCGGCUAAUUCUGUGCCAGCAGCCGCGGUAAUACAGAGGGUGCGAGCGUUAAUCGGAUUUACUGGGCGUAAAGCGUGCGUAGGCGGCUUUUUAAGUCGGAUGUGAAAUCCCCGAGCUUAACUUGGGAAUUGCAUUCGAUACUGGGAAGCUAGAGUAUGGGAGAGGAUGGUAGAAUUCCAGGUGUAGCGGUGAAAUGCGUAGAGAUCUGGAG
Molecule: ribosomal RNA, 551 nt
Filed under: uncultured Acinetobacter sp.
Lineage: Bacteria; Pseudomonadati; Pseudomonadota; Gammaproteobacteria; Moraxellales; Moraxellaceae
Description: bacterial SSU rRNA
Rfam family: Bacterial small subunit ribosomal RNA
Source: RNAcentral